CCCUUUGAUACUCUGGGCGGCACGCGCGCUACAAUGGAUAACUUAACGUGUUACAUGUCCGAAAGGAUGUAUGCAAAUCACAAAUGUUAUGUCUCGAGUGGGAUAGUUUACUGCAAUUAUAGACUUGAACUAGGAAUCCCUUGUAGGUACACUGAAGCAUAGUGUACCGAAUACGUCCCUGCCGUUUGUACACACCGCCCGUCGUUUCUUCCGACUGAUACUCAUUGUGAAUUGCGGGGAUAACGUUGUUGAAAACCGUUGUAAAUGCUGGGUAUUGGAGGAAGAAAAAGUCAUAACA
This 298-nucleotide ribosomal RNA is filed under the name uncultured eukaryote. RNAcentral describes it as "partial 18S ribosomal RNA". It matches the Rfam family "Eukaryotic small subunit ribosomal RNA", at positions 1470 to 1796 of the family's 1831-position model. The record is from RNAcentral.